AUAUGGUCGACCUGCAGGCGGCCGCGAAUUCACUAGUGAUUCGUAUUACCGCGGCUGCUGGCACGUGAUUAGCGGGGGCUUCUUUACAAGCUUAACUCAACGCAACCAUUUGUUCGAUAGCUGCGAUUUGCUCACUUGCGAAAGCGGUUUACAACCCAUAGGGCCUUCAUCCCGCACGCGGCGUCGCUCGGUCAGACUUUCGUCCAUUGCCGAAUAUUCCGAACUGCAGCCACCCGUAGGUGUCCGGCCAGUGUCUCAGUGCCGAUGUGCCCGAUCAGCCUCUCAGCCCGGGUACCCGUCGCAGCCUUGGUGGGCCAUUACCCCGCCAACUAGCUGGUAGGAAGCAGACCGAUCCUUGAGCGCUAGGUCCGAAGAUCCCCAGCCUUUGACCUCUGUGCGUUUCCACACUGUGGUCUUAUCGGGAAUUAGCGUCCCUUUCGGAACGUUUUGCCCAUCUAUAGGGUACGUUAUCUACCCAUUCCUCACCCUUCCGCCACUUUACAACACGUAUUGCUACGUGCUUCUAGUGCGACUUGCAUGCCUCAACCACGCCGCCAACGUUCGUUCUGAGCCAUGAUCAAACUCUAAUCGAAUUCCCGCG
This 601-nucleotide ribosomal RNA is filed under the name uncultured Planctomycetota bacterium. RNAcentral's name for it is "uncultured planctomycete partial 16S ribosomal RNA". Lineage: Bacteria; Pseudomonadati; Planctomycetota. The record is from RNAcentral.